This 251-nucleotide ribosomal RNA is filed under the name uncultured bacterium. RNAcentral describes it as "partial 16S ribosomal RNA". It matches the Rfam family "Bacterial small subunit ribosomal RNA", at positions 524 to 775 of the family's 1533-position model. The record is from RNAcentral.
UACGUAGGGGGCGAGCGUUAUCCGGAUUUAUUGGGCGUAAAGCGUGUGUAGGCGGUUUAUUAAGUAUAAGAUUAAAGCCCGAGGCUCAACCUCGGUUCGUCUUAUAAACUGGUAGACUUGGGUAUGGUAGAGGCAAGUGGAAUUUCUAGUGUAGCGGUUAAAUGCGUAGAUAUUAGAAGGAACACCAGUGGCGAAGGCGGCUUGCUGGGCCAUAACUGACGCUGAUGCACGAAAGCGUGGGGAGCAAAUAG